RNAcentral lists this ribosomal RNA (253 nucleotides) under uncultured bacterium. RNAcentral describes it as "partial 16S ribosomal RNA". It matches the Rfam family "Bacterial small subunit ribosomal RNA", at positions 524 to 776 of the family's 1533-position model. The record is from RNAcentral.
GACGAACCGUGCGAACGUUGUUCGGAAUCACUGGGCUUAAAGGGCGCGUAGGCGGGUCAUCAAGUCCGGGGUGAAAGCCCCCAGCUUAACUGGGGAAGUGCCUUGGAUACUGGUGGUCUUGAGGGAGGUAGGGGCAUGUGGAACUUCCGGUGGAGCGGUGAAAUGCGUAGAUAUCGGAAGGAACGCCGGUGGCGAAAGCGACGUGCUGGACCUCUUCUGACGCUGAGGCGCGAAAGCCAGGGGAGCAAACGGG